This 62-nucleotide transfer RNA is filed under the name Hyalomma aegyptium. RNAcentral's name for it is "tRNA-Leu". The record is from RNAcentral. Lineage: Eukaryota; Metazoa; Arthropoda; Arachnida; Ixodida; Ixodidae.
AUUAAAGUGGCAGAAAAAAAUGCAAGGAAUUUAAGCUUCCUUUAUGAAUUACUCCUUUAAUA